GGGCCCGUGGCUUAGCCUGGAUAGAGUACUGCGCUGCGGACGCAGGGGUCAGGGGUUCAAAUCCCUUCGGGCCCG
This 75-nucleotide transfer RNA is filed under the name Candidatus Heimdallarchaeota archaeon. RNAcentral describes it as "tRNA-Arg". It matches the Rfam family "tRNA". Rfam says of the family: Transfer RNA (tRNA) molecules are approximately 80 nucleotides in length. Their secondary structure includes four short double-helical elements and three loops (D, anti-codon, and T loops). RNAcentral also lists the same sequence under 2 other names. Lineage: Archaea; Promethearchaeati; Candidatus Heimdallarchaeota. The record is from RNAcentral.